Molecule: ribosomal RNA, 250 nt
Filed under: uncultured bacterium
Lineage: Bacteria
Description: partial 16S ribosomal RNA
Rfam family: Bacterial small subunit ribosomal RNA
Source: RNAcentral
UACGUAGGUGACGAGCGUUGUCCGGAUUUACUGGGCGUAAAGAGCGCGCAGGCGGUCGUGCAAGUCGAGUGUGAAAGCCCCCGGCUCAACUGGGGAGGGUCGCUCGAUACUGUUCGACUUGAAGGCGGGAGAGGGAUGCGGAAUUCCCGGUGUAGUGGUGAAAUGCGUAGAUAUCGGGAGGAACACCAGUGGCGAAGGCGGCAUCCUGGCCCGUUCUUGACGCUGAGGCGCGAAAGCUAGGGGAGCAAAC